RNAcentral lists this ribosomal RNA (482 nucleotides) under uncultured bacterium. RNAcentral's name for it is "partial 16S ribosomal RNA". It matches the Rfam family "Bacterial small subunit ribosomal RNA", at positions 28 to 507 of the family's 1533-position model. The record is from RNAcentral.
GAUGAACGCUAGCGGCAGGCCUAAUACAUGCAAGUCGAACGAGAUUAAGAGGCUUGCUUCUUAUGAAAGUGGCGCACGGGUGCGUAACGCGUAUGCAACCUACCUUAAUCAGGGGGAUAGCCCGAAGAAAUUCGGAUUAAGACCGCAUAAAAACACAGGAUAGCAUUAUCCAAUGUUCAAAUAUUUGUAGGAUUAAGAUGGGCAUGCGUGUCAUUAGCUAGUUGGCGGGGUAACGGCCCACCAAGGCGACGAUGACUAGGGGAUCUGAGAGGAUGACCCCCCACACUGGUACUGAGACACGGACCAGACUCCUACGGGAGGCAGCAGUAAGGAAUAUUGGUCAAUGGAGGGAACUCUGAACCAGCCAUGCCGCGUGCAGGAAGACAGCCCUCUGGGUCGUAAACUGCUUUUAUUCGGGAAUAAACCUUUCUACGUGUAGGAAGCUGAAUGUACCGAAGGAAUAAGGAUCGGCUAACUCCGUG